This 449-nucleotide ribosomal RNA is filed under the name uncultured bacterium. RNAcentral's name for it is "partial 16S ribosomal RNA". It matches the Rfam family "Bacterial small subunit ribosomal RNA", at positions 29 to 523 of the family's 1533-position model. The record is from RNAcentral.
AGCGAACGCUGGCGGCAGGCCUAACACAUGCAAGUCGAACGAACUCUUCGGAGUUAGUGGCGGACGGGUGAGUAACACGUGGGAACGUGCCUUUAGGUUCGGAAUAACUCAGGGAAACUUGUGCUAAUACCGAAUGUGCCCUUCGGGGGAAAGAUUUAUCGCCUUUAGAGCGGCCCGCGUCUGAUUAGCUAGUUGGUGAGGUAAAGGCUCACCAAGGCGACGAUCAGUAGCUGGUCUGAGAGGAUGAUCAGCCACAUUGGGACUGAGACACGGCCCAAACUCGUCCGGGAGGCAGCAGUGGGGAAUCUUGCGCAAUGGGCGAAAGCCUGAAGCAGCCAUGCCGCGUGAAUGAUGAAGGUCUUAGGAUUGUAAAAUUCUUUCACCGAGGACGAUAAUGACGGUACCCGGAGAAGAAGCCCCGGCUAACUUCGUGCCAGCCGCCGCCGUAA